UGUUGCCCAAGCUAUGACCACAUAAUGACUAACUUGUACGUGAGAUUUCUGCACCAGUUCCAGCCAACAAAACUGAAAAUUUAAACCGGAUUAUACCGCCAGAAAGGUGGUCUCUGAACAUCAGGUGGAAGGGGUACCAGCAGAUUCAGGGAGGUCUUCGAACCUGGAUCAAAGAGGUGUAUUCUUGAGCAUCUGGGGUUUGUUUACGACAAUACAGACCCAUGGAAUGCAGGUGAUGACAGAAGCUCCACUCAGCUCCGUUGGAGGACACAGGAGAGACGCUCUGGCACUUUGAUGCUCCUUAAUGAUGGCUGCUCUUCAUCGGUUAGCCGGAGCGCUCAAUAACAUGCUGCUUGAUUCAUCCAUGCAGACAGAUGACUGACAAAACCCCAUGUUCUACACUCACGGAGGUUUGGGAUGGAGUCAAGAGGAUUUGUGGGUGGAAUUCUCAUAUUUCGUUCUGCAUGCAGCUUUGUGUAUAUUGAAAUAGCUGUGAUGGUUAGGAAACCAAAAUUCUUCGACUGUUGUUCUGAGUUUGGGGUUGCCAAGCUUAAAUUGUCUGGGCUUUCUUUAGGGUCAGAACUAAGGUGACCAACAACAGACAGUAAAUAAAAAGUGUAAGAGCUGAUGUUCUACGUGCAUAUUUGUAAUGUUAAACAAACAAAAAAAAAAGUGGACGUGUUUAAUUUUUAAGUUAAACUACCUCUAGCUUAAUUACUCACCCUCAUGUCAUUCCACACCUCUGUUCAUC
This is a long non-coding RNA of Megalobrama amblycephala (Wuchang bream), 751 nucleotides long. RefSeq lists it as uncharacterized. The transcript is spliced from 3 exons. Lineage: Eukaryota; Metazoa; Chordata; Actinopteri; Cypriniformes; Xenocyprididae. The record is from RefSeq and is a predicted model, not a curated record.